GUCAGGGUAGCUCAGUUGGUUAGAGCGUGGGACUCAUAAGCCCAAGGUCGGAGGUUCAAAUCCUCUCCCUGACACCA
This 77-nucleotide transfer RNA is filed under the name Candidatus Altimarinota bacterium. RNAcentral describes it as "tRNA-Met". It matches the Rfam family "tRNA". Rfam says of the family: Transfer RNA (tRNA) molecules are approximately 80 nucleotides in length. Their secondary structure includes four short double-helical elements and three loops (D, anti-codon, and T loops). The record is from RNAcentral. Lineage: Bacteria; Candidatus Altimarinota.